Long non-coding RNA from Alligator sinensis (Chinese alligator), 953 nucleotides. RefSeq lists it as uncharacterized. The transcript is spliced from 4 exons. The record is from RefSeq and is a predicted model, not a curated record. Lineage: Eukaryota; Metazoa; Chordata; Crocodylia; Alligatoridae.
UGAUGUGCCCAGGUGUUCUUGCUCAGCCUAAUGAGCUGUUUCGAUGCCCCUGCCCUGGAGCCCUCUUUAGCUGCUUAGCAGGCCUAAGUACUGAGGUUUGGGUUCUUGCUGGUCCUGGCUCCUGUAGUGGUCUGCCCCUGUGGAUCACAAAAGUUUUGCUCAAACCCCACUCUUCCCUUCUGCAUCACCUCUGCAUGUAGUUAACAGGGUUAGGAUCCCUGUUACCACCCUCUCCACCCCCAGGUGCCUACUUCAUUUUGGCUGCAUCUGGCUGCCACAUACAGAAUGACUUUGGGGACCACUCCUUGACUACUAUGGCUCUACUCUCCUGACAAGGUUAAAACUGACGUUGCAGUCUAUUCUGUUAUCUCCCCUCGUCAAAUAAAAUGGGACUUGAUUCUCCUGAAUGUAAUCAUGGUGUGGACUGAAGUCAAACUGAAUGGGGCUGCAUAUGUGACUCAGUACAUCCACAAGUAACCAGGCACUGUGCUUCAGUGCUUACUACUAGCAGUGUUCCUCUUGCCUUCAGUGUGGACUGUUGCACUUCAUCUAACAGGUGGCUUCAGUCAUGAAGAGGCAUCAGCCCAGGAAUAACUCUCCUUGUAAGAGGCAAAGCUUGCUGCCCUCUAUUUUUAUCAUUGUCCCAAUAAUUCCUGCUUUUUGUAGACAAGAGCAGAAUAAAGGGAGCUGUGUCUUAAUAGAAAGUGUUUAGAUGGAAAGGAGGAGGAUGUUUAUUAUUCUGUUGACUGGAAAGCCCAUCAAGGCUUGGCUAAGUCCCCCAGCAAAGACUAUAACUAUGCUACUUGUCUUCCUUUCCUUUCCACCCUGUGGAAGCAAGGACCAGGGCUCCCAAAGGAACUUGGGGAUCGGGACCCCAAGAAAAAACCCUUCACUUACUGGGAUGAAGCGGCAGAGCCUGGUAGGGACUGGAAACGUCUCAUGCGUCCCUGCAG